This is a non-coding RNA of Cricetulus griseus (Chinese hamster), 2295 nucleotides long. NCBI's taxonomy places the organism in Eukaryota, Metazoa, Chordata, Mammalia, Rodentia, Cricetidae. The record is from RefSeq and is a predicted model, not a curated record.
CAACAGCGCAACGUGAUCCACUGGCAAGGAGGGAUGCCAAUAAGGCGUCUGGUAAGAAACUGAGCAUGACAACAUAAUUUGACAUGCCAACAUGGAUGAAGAAAUCUCAUAAGGCCCCAGUCCUAGAUGAAGAGCUGCAGGAACUAGAAACAACUUAGAUGAACCUCAGCAGAAGAAUGGAUAAAGGAAAUGUGGCAUAUUCAUAGAGUGGAGUAUUACUCAGCUUUUAAAAAUAAUAACAGCAUGAAAUUUGCAGGCAAAUGGAAACAAGGAACAAUGAAAAAAUCAUCUUGAUUGAGUGACUUGAAAUGUGACGUGUCAGAAAGAUUGCUCAUCUAGACUUCUACUACAGGGGAAGAAUGCCUAUGAAUUUAAAGGAUGAGUAUUUUAUUUUAUGUGGAAGUAAUUUAUUGUGUAGUUGUGCCUAAAUCUCACUAACUUUCUCUGAACUCAGAACCACAGAGAUAUGAUGCCCAGUCCAUAGCUUUGCAACACAUUCCAUUAACCUCCCAUGUUUCAGCUAUUUUAAAUAUUAGUUCCAUUUCAACAAACAAAAUCCUGCAAUGCAUUCUGGUAAAUUAGUAUCUAAUAAGAAGAGACUAGAGCAUGAAACUCCAACACGAAUGUUUAAUGGGAUACAAAUAUCCAAUCUGGAGGCUCUAAUAAAAGUCUCCUCUCUCUGGGUGAAGGCCGUUGGCUGUUACACAGAAGCCAUCAUACAUGGCCGCCCUCAAAAUGCAUUAUAGAUCAGACUCAUAAUCUUUCCUUCUACAAAUGGCACAAGAAUUGAUUUCAAUUAUCAUUUAAUACUGAUUUCCCUCUCCUGUCAAAAAGUUCUCUGUGCACAUGAAACUGAAGGUUGUCAGCUUGAGCUCAUUGGCAGAACUUUUAAGGACUAUUGAUUUGUCAGUGAGAUUUCUAGUUCUCUCAUAGUUACUGGAAGGAUACCUUGGAGGCUGAAUUCGAUGACAGGAUGGGCCAGAAUGCCGAUAGGCUUAGUGAAGACUGAUGAAAAGAGAAACUCAAAAUUUGUCAGAAUGUAUUUUGUAAAUUAGGUUAACAUGAUUGAUUAUACUAAGCCAAAAUUUCUCAUGUAGCACUGACCUGAAUUUUAAUUAUCUCUUUUCUUCCUGCCCCAUUUUGUGCUUUGGUACAAGUCUUUGAUGUCUGCACAUUAACCUUUGCAGAAAAUAUGAAGUGGUUUAAAAAUAAAUUGGACUUAUGCCUUUGGAAAUAAGAGUUGUUUUGUGCACCUACAGAGACUUGUUUUACUUCUUUCAACUCCAAGAGUAUAUGAGUUACCACAGAGUAUUUAUAUAAGCACAUAUGUAAGGCCAACAUUUUUUGUAGGAUUUUAUGUUCUUACAGGUACUUAAAGAACCCAAGGGCCUUUAUCUUCACUUUAAUUUUCUCACAAUCCUUGUAAAAAAAAAGAGACAGCUUUCCACAACUAAUGCCUUCUCAACAGCACUGACAUCAUUCUGAGUAAACAUAGAUGCAUCUUAUAGGCACAGUCAGUGCUCCCCUUUAAGCAAUCUCUCCCUCUCCUGACUCCCACAUACAUUUUUUUCUGUAAACGUUGUGUAGAUUUGUCUCUACAGGGACAGACCCAGACUUUGUGUGGCUUUAAAAGACACAAGAUUGCAUUCCAUCAAGAAAAAAGGAACCACAAAAUCAUGGAUAUGAAAUCAACAUGAGAGCCAGCUGCAGGAGUGGAUGGAUUUGAUUACUUUCAAGCAUUCUGUGUGGCCGGAAACUUAAUGCUGAAGCUCAGCAGGAGAAGGCCUGUGAAGAGGGAAUUGACUCACACUGUGAUUUAUAAUAAAGGGAACCUUUUUUCUGCGAAAUGUUAUCUGAGAGUUAAGAACUCCUUUGAGAUUUUUCACUAUCAACUCAGCAUGGUGCUAUUAUUUUGUUAUUGAGACUUUUGUUUUUCCUACCUCUUACAGAGGAAUCUGAAAGUUCAGCAGAAAGCAGUGGUCCUUACCUAUAGUCCAGUUAGGUACUCCAGAUACUGCACCAGCAGUUCAGCAGACUCUCCUGAAACUUUGUAUGCAUCCAUUGAAUUAUUUUUUUAACAGAAAAUAUUUAUAAGAUAUAGUCAGUAAUCAGUUUUCCUAUGAUAUAAGAGAUUUACAAAAAGCUGUAUGUGUCUAGCCUUUCCUGUUAUCCAUGCUAUGUUGUUGUAGAUAUACUGGGAUGUCUGCCAACCUGAUACUUUCCCCCCCUCUAAAAUCCAGUGUUUCUCCAUAGAAAACACAGGCCAUUCUGGGCAGGGGUGGGUACAUUUUCUUA